RNAcentral lists this ribosomal RNA (659 nucleotides) under Acinetobacter johnsonii. RNAcentral's name for it is "bacterial SSU rRNA". It matches the Rfam family "Bacterial small subunit ribosomal RNA", at positions 88 to 742 of the family's 1533-position model. The record is from RNAcentral. Lineage: Bacteria; Pseudomonadati; Pseudomonadota; Gammaproteobacteria; Moraxellales; Moraxellaceae.
UGACAUAGCGGCGGACGGGUGAGUAAUGCUUAGGAAUCUGCCUAUUAGUGGGGGACAACAUUCCGAAAGGAAUGCUAAUACCGCAUACGCCCUACGGGGGAAAGCAGGGGAUCUUCGGACCUUGCGCUAAUAGAUGAGCCUAAGUCAGAUUAGCUAGUUGGUGGGGUAAAGGCCUACCAAGGCGACGAUCUGUAGCGGGUCUGAGAGGAUGAUCCGCCACACUGGGACUGAGACACGGCCCAGACUCCUACGGGAGGCAGCAGUGGGGAAUAUUGGACAAUGGGCGAAAGCCUGAUCCAGCCAUGCCGCGUGUGUGAAGAAGGCCUUUUGGUUGUAAAGCACUUUAAGCGAGGAGGAGGCUACUUGGAUUAAUACUCUAGGAUAGUGGACGUUACUCGCAGAAUAAGCACCGGCUAACUCUGUGCCAGCAGCCGCGGUAAUACAGAGGGUGCGAGCGUUAAUCGGAUUUACUGGGCGUAAAGCGUGCGUAGGCGGCUUUUUAAGUCGGAUGUGAAAUCCCUGAGCUUAACUUAGGAAUUGCAUUCGAUACUGGGAAGCUAGAGUAUGGGAGAGGAUGGUAGAAUUCCAGGUGUAGCGGUGAAAUGCGUAGAGAUCUGGAGGAAUACCGAUGGCGAAGGCAGCCAUCUGGCCUAAUACUG